GACGAACGCUGGCGGCGUGCUUAACACAUGCAAGUCGAACGAUGAUGCCCAGCUUGCUGGGUGGAUUAGUGGCGAACGGGUGAGUAACACGUGAGUAACCUGCCCCUGACUCUGGGAUAAGCGUUGGAAACGACGUCUAAUACUGGAUAUGAUCGCCGGCCGCAUGGUCUGGUGGUGGAAAGAUUUUUUGGUUGGGGAUGGACUCGCGGCCUAUCAGCUUGUUGGUGGGGUAAUGGCUCACCAAGGCGACGACGGGUAGCCGGCCUGAGAGGGUGACCGGCCACACUGGGACUGAGACACGGCCCAGACUCCUACGGGAGGCGGCAGUGGGGAAUAUUGCACAAUGGGCGAAAGCCUGAUGCAGCGACGCCGCGUGAGGGAUGACGGCCUUCGGGUUGUAAACCUCUUUUAGUAGGGAAGAAGCGAAAGUGACGGUACCUGCAGAAAAAGCACCGGCUAACUACGUGCCAGCCGCCGCCGUAA
This 483-nucleotide ribosomal RNA is filed under the name uncultured bacterium. RNAcentral's name for it is "partial 16S ribosomal RNA". It matches the Rfam family "Bacterial small subunit ribosomal RNA", at positions 28 to 523 of the family's 1533-position model. The record is from RNAcentral.